This 253-nucleotide ribosomal RNA is filed under the name uncultured bacterium. Its description in RNAcentral is "partial 16S ribosomal RNA". It matches the Rfam family "Bacterial small subunit ribosomal RNA", at positions 524 to 776 of the family's 1533-position model. The record is from RNAcentral.
UACGGAGGGUGCAAGCGUUGUUCGGAAUCACUGGGCGUAAAGGGCGUGUAGGCGGCCUGUUAAGUCUGAUGUGAAAUCCCCUCGCUCAACGAGGGAACUGCGUCGGAAACUGGCAGGCUCGAGUACCGGAGAGGAAGGUGGAAUUCCCGGUGUAGCGGUGAAAUGCGUAGAUAUCGAGAGGAACACCUGCGGCGAAGGCGGGUAGCUGGGCCGACACUGACGCUGAGGCGCGAAAGCCAGGGGAGCGAACGGG